UACGUAGGUGGCAAGCGUUAUCCGGAUUUAUUGGGCGUAAAGGGAACGCAGGCGGUCUUUUAAGUCUGAUGUGAAAGCCUUCGGCUUAACCGGAGUAGUGCAUUGGAAACUGGGAGACUUGAGUGCAGAAGAGGAGAGUGGAAUUCCUAGUGUAGCGGUGAAAUGCGUAGAUAUUAGGAGGAACACCAGUUGCGAAGGCGGCUCUCUGGACUGUAACUGACACUGAGGCACGAAAGCGUGGGGAGCAAACAGG
Molecule: ribosomal RNA, 253 nt
Filed under: uncultured bacterium
Lineage: Bacteria
Description: partial 16S ribosomal RNA
Rfam family: Bacterial small subunit ribosomal RNA
Source: RNAcentral